GACGAACGCUGGCGGCGUGCUUAACACAUGCAGGUCGAACGUUAAGCCCCUUUCGGGGGUACACGAGUGGCGAACGGGUGAGUAACACGUGAGUAACCUGCCCUCAUCUCUGGGAUAACAGUCGGAAACGGUUGCUAAUACUGGAUAUGAGCUUGCAAGGCAUCUUGUGGGUUGGAAAGAUAUUUUUUGGUUGGGGAUGGACUCGCGGCCUAUCAGCUUGUUGGUGAGGUAGUGGCUCACCAAGGCUUCGACGGGUAGCCGGCCUGAGAGGGCGACCGGCCACAUUGGGACUGAGAUACGGCCCAGACUCCUACGGGAGGCAGCAGUGGGGAAUAUUGCACAAUGGACGGAAGUCUGAUGCAGCAACGCCGCGUGCGGGAUGACGGCCUUUCGGGUUGUAAACCGCUUUGCAAUUGUGACGAAGCUUUUUGUGACGGUAGCAGUAGAAGAGCACCGCUAACUAA
RNAcentral lists this ribosomal RNA (464 nucleotides) under Arachnia propionica. Its description in RNAcentral is "bacterial SSU rRNA". It matches the Rfam family "Bacterial small subunit ribosomal RNA", at positions 28 to 504 of the family's 1533-position model. Lineage: Bacteria; Bacillati; Actinomycetota; Actinomycetes; Propionibacteriales; Propionibacteriaceae. The record is from RNAcentral.